GAUGAAGAACGUAGCGAAAUGCGAUAAGUAAUGUGAAUUGCAGAAUUCAGUGAAUCAUCGAAUCUUUGAACGCACCUUGCGCCCUUUGGCUAUUCCGAAGGGCAUGCCUGUUUGAGUAUCAUGAACACCUCAACUCUCAUGGUUUGCCAUGAUGAGCUUGGACUUUGGGGGUCUUGCCGGCCUAUGGGUCGGCUCCUCUCAAAUUAAUCAGCUUGCCAGUGUUUGGUGGCAUCACAGGUGUGAUAACUAUCUACGCUUGUGGUUUUCCAUCAGGUAACCUUCAGUAAUGGAGGUUCGCUGGGGCUCAUAAAUGUCUCUCCUCAGUGAGGACAGCUUUUUUGAACGUUUGAUCUCAAAUCAGGUAGGACUACCCGCUGAACUUAAGCAUAUCAAUAAGCGGAGGA
This 404-nucleotide unclassified non-coding RNA is filed under the name soil metagenome. Its description in RNAcentral is "partial contains 5.8S ribosomal RNA, internal transcribed spacer 2, and large subunit ribosomal RNA". The stretch from base 1 to 121 matches the Rfam family "5.8S ribosomal RNA", at positions 35 to 154 of the family's 154-position model. The record is from RNAcentral.